CCUACGGGAGGCAGCAGUGGGGGAUAUUGCACAAUGGGGGGAACCCUGAUGCAGCGACGCCGCGUGGGCGAUGGAGUGCUUCGGCAUGUAAAGCCCUAUCAGCAGGGAAGAAAAUGACGGUACCUGACUAAGAAGCCCCGGCUAAAUACGUGCCAGCAGCCGCGGUAAUACGUAUGGGGCAAGCGUUAUCCGGAUUUACUGGGUGUAAAGGGAGCGUAGGCGGCGUGGCAAGCCUGAUGUGAAAUACCGGGGCCCAACCCCGGGGCUGCAUUGGGAACUGCCAGGCGGGAGUGCGGGAGAGGCAGGCGGAAUGCCUAGUGUAGCGGUGAAAUGCGUAGAUAUUAGGAGGAACACCAGUGGCGAAGGCGGCCUGCUGGACGGUGACUGACGCUGAGGCUCGAAAGCGUGGGGAGCAAACAGGAUUAGAUACCCCUGUAGUC
This 440-nucleotide ribosomal RNA is filed under the name uncultured bacterium. RNAcentral describes it as "partial 16S ribosomal RNA". It matches the Rfam family "Bacterial small subunit ribosomal RNA", at positions 338 to 795 of the family's 1533-position model. The record is from RNAcentral.